Lolium perenne is the source of this 950-nucleotide long non-coding RNA. RefSeq lists it as uncharacterized. Lineage: Eukaryota; Viridiplantae; Streptophyta; Magnoliopsida; Poales; Poaceae. The record is from RefSeq and is a predicted model, not a curated record.
AGCGGCUAUUAUUCCCACCCCUCGCGCUGGCUUUUCUCCAAAAGAAAAAACAACCGGAAAUACAGGAACCGUGCGUACCUUCUCUUUCCCCGUCUGUAUCCAUCCCCUGUGAAGUGAGCUCAAGCUGGAACAAGAACUCAAGCGGCAGAAGCUGAGCGGAGACCUCUGGCCGUGCCGCCGUGCUCCCGUUCCUCCGGCUUCCGGUCUCCAGCCGCAAACCCUCGAUGGAUCUCGGCCGCUCCGCAGCCUCAGGGUCAGGGAUGUGGUGCCUCGACCUGGAUGAGCGCGACGGCGCCCCUACUCCUCACACGCCGGCCUGUUGCUCCCUUGCGAAUUAGACUGGCGGUAGCCCGGAUGUUCUCGACGGAAGACAGCGCGUGAAGCUGGAGCAGGCGCCUAGCGGGGUAACCGCUGGUCUCACUCCCCACGGCGGCGAGGUGGAGGAGAUGCCGCGGCGGCUAGGCGCAGCGUCGGAAGGCGGCCAGGCCCGCCGCAGCGAGGCGGCCAGGCUCCCCGCAGCGAGGCGGCCAGGCCCCUGACUCAGGAGGACCUCGUCGCUUACCUCGUCUGUUCAAGCUCAAGGAGAAACAGAGGUGUUUCUAGAAUUUUUGCAAAGUGUUCCUGUACAUCUAGGCCGAUGGCAUGCCUGAUGAAGCAAAACGAACGGAGGGGGUGGCAGGAUUGGAAGAAUUCCCACAAUCGGUUCAAAGAAAAUUGCGAAUUUCGACUAUGAUUCAUCGUGAAGAAUCAGUUCGAUGUCUUACCGUGCGUGAGUGAGAUCCAUGUUCUUCAUUAUCCCCUUGAUUACUUGAAGAAGCCAUUAGCGACUUGUGUUGGUUGUUGCAGUGUUCAAUUGAUUCCUUCGCUGUUCAAUUUUGGAGGAUAUUUUUCAUGUGCGGAUCACUGUGUUUCAACCUUUCCUGUUUAUUUACAGUAGCGUCAAUUCAGAA